CUAACAUAGUCACUCUCUCCAAACCGAAUAAACCCCCCCAAUCUCUGCUCAAACCUGAGACCAAUAUCACUAUUAAAUGUGGACAUCAAGAUGUAUACAAAGCUGUUGGCCACUCGUAUCAAACCGAUGCUACUUCCCCUAAUCUCCCCUGGAACAGGCUGGCUUUGUGCCAGGCAAGCAGGUGGGCGACAAUAUACGCUACUUCAUUGACCUCAUAGAAUGG
Molecule: non-coding RNA, 223 nt
Organism: Pelobates cultripes (western spadefoot toad)
Lineage: Eukaryota; Metazoa; Chordata; Amphibia; Anura; Pelobatidae
Source: the annotation of a GenBank genome assembly